This 529-nucleotide ribosomal RNA is filed under the name uncultured bacterium. Its description in RNAcentral is "bacterial SSU rRNA". It matches the Rfam family "Bacterial small subunit ribosomal RNA", at positions 28 to 550 of the family's 1533-position model. The record is from RNAcentral.
GAUGAACGCUAGCGAUAGGCUUAACACAUGCAAGUCGAGGGGCAGCACGGUGUAGCAAUACACUGGUGGCGACCGGCGUACGGGUGCGUAACACGUAUGCAACCUACCCGCUAUUGGGGGAUAACCCGGCGAAAGUCGGACUAAUAUCCCAUAUUAUUCUUACCGGGCAUCCGGUGAGUCUGAAAGAUUUAUCGAUUGCGGAUGGGCAUGCGGAUGAUUAGCUAGUAGGUGGGGUAACGGCUCACCUAGGCGACGAUCAUUAGGGGUUCUGAGAGGAAGGUCCCCCACACUGGAACUGAGACACGGUCCAGACUCCUACGGGAGGCAGCAGUGAGGAAUAUUGGUCAAUGGGCGCUAGCCUGAACCAGCCAAGUCGCGUGAAGGAUGACAGAUCUAUGGUUUGUAAACUUCUUUUGCAGGGGAGUAAAGUGCGACACGUGUGUUGUAUUGCAAGUACCCUGCGAAUAAGCAUCGGCUAACUCCGUGCCAGCAGCCGCGGUAAUACGGAGGAUGCAAGCGUUAUCCGGAU